This 428-nucleotide ribosomal RNA is filed under the name uncultured bacterium. RNAcentral's name for it is "partial 16S ribosomal RNA". It matches the Rfam family "Bacterial small subunit ribosomal RNA", at positions 354 to 796 of the family's 1533-position model. The record is from RNAcentral.
GUGGGGAAUAUUGGGCAAUGGGCGAAAGCCUGACCCAGCAACGCCGCGUGAGGGAAGAAGGUCUUCGGAUUGUAAACCUCUGUCCUUAGGGACGAAGAAAGUGACGGUACCUAAGGAGGAAGCCCCGGCUAACUACGUGCCAGCAGCCGCGGUAAUACGUAGGGGGCGAGCGUUGUCCGGAAUUACUGGGCGUAAAGGGAGCGUAGGCUGUUUUCUAAGUCAGGAGUGAAAUACCCGUGCUUAACGCGGGGGCUGCUUUUGAAACUGGAAGACUUGAGUGCAGGAGAGGAAAGUGGAAUUCCUAGUGUAGCGGUGAAAUGCGUAGAUAUUAGGAGGAACACCAGUGGCGAAGGCGACUUUCUGGACUGUAACUGACGCUGAAGCUCGAAAGCGUGGGGAGCAAACAGGAUUAGAUACCCUUGUAGUCC